UCUAACCUCCUCCCUGUAGCUGGUUGCCAGGGCUCUAACCUCCUCCCUGUAGCUGGUUGCCAGGGCUCUAACCUCCUCCCUGUAGCUGGUUGCCAGCGCUAUAACCUCCUCCCUGGACUUCCAAACUUAAUGACGGUGUUGGAGUGGCAGAUGUGUUGUUACCUACCCUCACCACCAGGGGGCAGCCCAUCAGGAAGUCCAGGAUCCAGUUAUAGAGGGAGGUGCUCAUACCAAGGGCCUUCAGCUUUAGUGUCAAGCUUGGAGUGGACAACAUCCUCACACAGGUGUUCCUCGUGUCCAGGUGGGAGAGGCCUGUGUCCAUCGUGUCUGAAUGAAUGUUUUUGCACCUCUAUGUUGUACCAGAAAAUGACCCAUCGGGUAAUUUGUCAUGUUCAGUGAUUAGUAAUGUUUUGAGCUAGUCUAUAUAUAAAAUGGACACAUCUAAUUUAAUGUGAUAAAAUAAUGAACAGAUUGCAUUUUGCACCCCGUACCGCCGUCACCUCAAAAUGAAUGGUUCUGAUUACUCAAAAGUCUAGUUGUUUCUUUGCUUGCGCUCCACUGCGUUGGCCCAGUGCGUUGGCCCAGUGUGUUGGGGCCCACUGCGUUGGCCCAGUGCGUUGGCCCAGUGUGUUGGGGCCCAGUGUGUUGGGGCCCAGUGUGUUGGGGCCCAGUGUGUUGGCCCAGUGUGUUAGCCCAGUGUGUUGGGGCCCAGUGUGUUGGCCCAGUGCGUUGGCCCAGUCCGUUGGCCCAGUGUGUUAGCCCAGUGUGUUAGCCCAGUGUGUUGGGGCCCAGUGUGUUGGCCCAGUGCGUUGGCCCAGUGUGUUGGCCCAGUGCGUUGGCCCAGUCCGUUGGCCCAGUGUGUUGGCCCAGUCCGUUGGCCCAGUGCGUUGGCCCAGUCCGUUGGCCCAGUCCGUUGGCCCAGUGUGUUGGCCCAGUGUGUUAGCCCAGUGUGUUGGGGCCCAGUGUGUUGGCCCAGUGCGUUGGCCCAGUCCGUUGGCCCAGUGUGUUGGGGCCCAGUGCGUUGGCCCAGUCCGUUGGCCCAGUCCGUUGGCCCAGUGCAUUGGCCCAGUGCGUUGGGGCCCAGUGCGUUGGGGCCCAGUGUGUUGGCCCAGUGUGUUGGGGCCCAGUGUGUUGGGGCCCAGUGUGUUGGCCCAGUGUGUUGGCCCAGUGUGUUGGGGCCCAGUGUGUUGGGGCCCAGUGUGUUGGCCCAGUGUGUUGGGGCCCAGUGUGUUGGGGCCCAGUGUGUUGGCCCAGUGUGUUGGGGCCCAGUGUGUUGGGGCCCAGUGCGUUGGCCCAGUGCGUUGGCCCAGUGUGUUGGCCCAGUGUGUUGGGGCCCAGUGUGUUGGGGCCCAGUGUGUUGGGGCCCAGUGUGUUGGGGCCCAGUGUGUUGGGGCCCAGUGUGUUGGGGCCCAGUGUGUUGGGGCACAGUGUUUAGAAGGCACUAGUUUCACCACUGGUGUUUAGAUGAAAAGGCUCCUGCUAAAGACAAUGUUUAUCUACUUUAUUGUGCUGUUACAUUUGUAUCGUUGUUUUAAUGUUCGAUGGUGUCGGUCCGAUGCUGCUGAUCCAAUGGUGUUGAUCCGAUGCUGUCGAUCCAAUGGUGUCGAUCCGAUGCUGUUGAUCCAAUGCUGCUGAUCCAAUGCUGUCGAUCCAAUGGUGUUGAUCCGAUGCUGCUGAUCCAAUGGUGUUGAUCCGAUGCUGUUGAUCCGAUGCUGUUGAUCCGAUGCUGCUGAUCCAAUGGUGUUGAUCCGAUGCUGCUGAUCCAAUGCUGUUGAUCCGAUGCUGCCGAUCCAAUGCUGCUGAUCCAAUGGUGUUGAUCCGAUGCUGCUGAUCCAAUGGUGUUGAUCCGAUGCUGUCGAUCCAAUGCUGCUGAUCCAAUGGUGUUGAUCCGAUGCUGUCGAUCCAAUGGUGUUGAUCCGAUGCUGUAGUUAAAUAUCAUUGAGCUGCGUGCACCACAAGCUGUUUACAGGCAUUGAACACCAUUCGGCAUUUUGCCGUCUAUUUUCCAACUUCAAAUCGGUUAAAUCACAUUGUUAAAAUGUUUUCAUUCAGUUACAAAAGUAACAGUCCUGGCCCAUAUGAUAGUGUGCGGUGGCCACAUCAAGGUUACAAUGUAGCCAAGCUGUGUCUGUAUGCCCUAUGGUCCAAAUGAAAAAGCACAGGACGUGCGUCUGGAUAAAACAGCUCUGCCUGGCAACACGAGGGGCUAAAGGGGGAUGAUCCCUCAGCUGAAACUUGAUCCCUCUCAGCUGAAACUUGAUCCCUCUCAGCUGAAACUUGAUCCCUCUCAGCUGAAACUUGAUCCCUCUCAGCUGAAACUUGAUCCCUCUCAGCUGAAACUUGAUCCCUCUCAGUUGAUCCCCCUCAGUUUACAUUGUUUGGAAACUGAUAUGUGAUAAGUAUUAAUGCAAAAAUAACAUGCAAAACAGGCAACACAAAAUAAAAUAAUAUAAAAAAAUAAAUAAUAAUAAAAAAGAAUUUCUGGCCAGAAAUCUUUGGGUCAAAUACUUAUUUCCCUCAUUAAAAUGCAAAUCAUUUUAUAACAUGCGUUUUUCUGGAUAUUUUCAUUGUUAUUCUGUCUCUCACUGUUCAAAUAAACCUACCAUUAAAAUUAUAGACUGAUCAUUUCUUUGUCAGUGGGCAAUUAUCUACAUAAUUUUUCUGCCUUUUGAUGCUAUCUAUUUUGUGAAGUGCACCAGUCCCUCCUGCAGCAAAGCACCCCCACAACAUGAUGCUGCCACCCCCGUGCUUCACGGU
This 2757-nucleotide long non-coding RNA is filed under the name Salmo salar (Atlantic salmon). Its description in RNAcentral is "lncRNA (ENSSSAG00000121638.1)". Lineage: Eukaryota; Metazoa; Chordata; Actinopteri; Salmoniformes; Salmonidae. The record is from RNAcentral.